UACGGAGGGUGCAAGCGUUGUCCGGAAUCACUGGGCGUAAAGGGCGCGUAGGCGGCUCAUGAAGGCUGUGGUGAAAGUCUGGGGCUCAACCUCGGAUCGGCCGUGGCGACUCGUGGGCUGGAGCACUGUAGAGGCGGGUGGAAUUCCGGGUGUAGCGGUGGAAUGCGUAGAGAUCCGGAAGAACACCGGUGGCGAAGGCGGUCUGCUGGGCAGUUGCUGACACUGAGGCGCGACAGCGUGGGGAGCAAACAGG
Molecule: ribosomal RNA, 253 nt
Filed under: uncultured bacterium
Lineage: Bacteria
Description: partial 16S ribosomal RNA
Rfam family: Bacterial small subunit ribosomal RNA
Source: RNAcentral